RNAcentral lists this ribosomal RNA (434 nucleotides) under uncultured bacterium. Its description in RNAcentral is "bacterial SSU rRNA". It matches the Rfam family "Bacterial small subunit ribosomal RNA", at positions 957 to 1391 of the family's 1533-position model. The record is from RNAcentral.
GAACGCGAAGAACCUUACCUGGCCUUGACAUAGUAGAGACUUUCCAGAGAUGGAUUGGUGCCUUCGGGAAUCUACAUACAGGUGCUGCAUGGCUGUCGUCAGCUCGUGUCGUGAGAUGUUGGGUUAAGUCCCGCAACGAGCGCAACCCUUUUCCUUACUUGCCAGCAUUUCGGAUGGGAACUUUAAGGAUACUGCCAGUGACAAACUGGAGGAAGGCGGGGACGACGUCAAGUCAUCAUGGCCCUUACGGCCAGGGCUACACACGUGCUACAAUGGUCGGUACAAAGGGUUGCUACACAGCGAUGUGAUGCUAAUCUCAAAAAGCCGAUCGUAGUCCGGAUCGCAGUCUGCAACUCGACUGCGUGAAGUCGGAAUCGCUAGUAAUCGCGGAUCAGAAUGCCGCGGUGAAUACGUUCCCGGGUCUUGUACACACC